GUAGGGAAUAUUGCGCAAUGGACGAAAGUCUGACGCAGCGACGCCGCGUGAGUGAUGAAGGCCUUAGGGUCGUAAAGCUCUGUUGAAUGGGAAGAAAAAAAUGACGGUACCAUUCGAGGAAGGACCGGCUAACUUCGUGCCAGCAGCCGCGGUAAUACGAGGGGUCCUAGCGUUGUUCGGAAUCAUUGGGCGUAAAGGGUGUGUAGGUGGCCAUGUAAGUCAGGUGUGAAAGCCCCGGGCUCAACCCGGGAAGUGCACUUGAUACUGCGUGGCUUGAGUACCGAAGAGGGUAGUGGAACUCCAGGUGUAGUGGUGAAAUACGUAGAUAUUCGGAGGAACACCAGUGGCGAAGGCGGCUACCUGGUCGAGUACUGACACUGAGACACGAAAGCAUGGGGAUCAAACAGGAUUAGAAACCCCGGUAGUCC
RNAcentral lists this ribosomal RNA (428 nucleotides) under uncultured bacterium. RNAcentral describes it as "partial 16S ribosomal RNA". It matches the Rfam family "Bacterial small subunit ribosomal RNA", at positions 354 to 796 of the family's 1533-position model. The record is from RNAcentral.